RNAcentral lists this unclassified non-coding RNA (292 nucleotides) under Hevea brasiliensis (rubber tree). The record is from RNAcentral. Lineage: Eukaryota; Viridiplantae; Streptophyta; Magnoliopsida; Malpighiales; Euphorbiaceae.
UUUCAGGUAAUGGUAAAUAACGCCCUUGUUAUUCUGUUAAUAGAUCCUCCUCCUCCCACUAACUUGCAGAAGACCCAAGAGGAGAGAAGCUAAACUAAGAGGUAACAGCCAUGAACAAUCCUUUAACCACUCUCCUCUUCCUCGCGGUUUUAGUUGCCUCUUCUGUAACCCAUGUCAGAUCGGACGCAUCUGACCACCGUUAUAAGGACGGUGAUCCUGUUCCUCUCUACGCCAACAAGGUUGGACCUUUUCACAACCCAAGCGAAACGUAUCGCUAUUUCGAUCUGCCCUU